GACGAACGCUGGCGGCGUGCUUAACACAUGCAAGUCGAACGGAAAGGCCCUGCUUUUGUGGGGUGCUCGAGUGGCGAACGGGUGAGUAACACGUGAGUAACCUGCCCUUGACUUUGGGAUAACUUCAGGAAACUGGGGCUAAUACCGGAUAGGAGCUCCUGCUGCAUGGUGGGGGUUGGAAAGUUUCGGCGGUUGGGGAUGGACUCGCGGCUUAUCAGCUUGUUGGUGGGGUAGUGGCUUACCAAGGCUUUGACGGGUAGCCGGCCUGAGAGGGUGACCGGCCACAUUGGGACUAAGAUACGGCCCAGACUCCUACGGGAGGCAGCAGUGGGGAAUAUUGCGCAAUGGGCGGAAGCCUGAUGCAGCAACGCCGCGUGCGGGAUGACGGCCUUCGGGUUGUAAACCGCUUUCGCCUGUGACGAAGCGUGAGUGACGGUAAUGGGUAAAGAAGCACCGGCUAACUACGUG
Molecule: ribosomal RNA, 468 nt
Filed under: uncultured bacterium
Lineage: Bacteria
Description: partial 16S ribosomal RNA
Rfam family: Bacterial small subunit ribosomal RNA
Source: RNAcentral